This 274-nucleotide ribosomal RNA is filed under the name uncultured bacterium. RNAcentral's name for it is "partial 16S ribosomal RNA". It matches the Rfam family "Bacterial small subunit ribosomal RNA", at positions 523 to 796 of the family's 1533-position model. The record is from RNAcentral.
CUACGGAGGGGACUAGCGUUGUUCGGAUUUACUGGGCGUAAAGCGCGCGUAGGCGGUUUGGAAAGUUAGAUGUGAAAUCCCAGGGCUCAACCCUGGAACUGCAUUUGAAACUAUCAGACUAGAGAUUGGGAGAGGUAAGUGGAAUUCCGAGUGUAGAGGUGAAAUUCGUAGAUAUUCGGAGGAACACCAGAGGCGAAGGCGACUUACUGGACCAAUACUGACGCUGAGGUGCGAAAGCGUGGGGAGCAAACAGGAUUAGAAACCCUAGUAGUCC